GACGAACGCUGGCGGCGCGCCUAAUACAUGCAAGUAGAACGCUGAAGAGAGAAGCUUGCUCUUCUUGGAUGAGUUGCGAACGGGUGAGUAACGCGUAGGUAACCUGCCUUGUAGCGGGGGAUAACUAUUGGAAACGAUAGCUAAUACCGCAUAACAAUGGAUGACACAUGUCAUUUAUUUGAAAGGGGCAAUUGCUCCACUACAAGAUGGACCUGCGUUGUAUUAGCUAGUAGGUGAGGUAAUGGCUCACCUAGGCGACGAUACAUAGCCGACCUGAGAGGGUGAUCGGCCACACUGGGACUGAGACACGGCCCAGACUCCUACGGGAGGCAGCAGUAGGGAAUCUUCGGCAAUGGGGGCAACCCUGACCGAGCAACGCCGCGUGAGUGAAGAAGGUUUUCGGAUCGUAAAGCUCUGUUGUAAGUCAAGAACGGGUGUGAGAGUGGAAAGUUCACACUGUGACGGUAGCUUACCAGAAAGGGACGGCUAACUACGUG
RNAcentral lists this ribosomal RNA (497 nucleotides) under uncultured bacterium. RNAcentral's name for it is "partial 16S ribosomal RNA". It matches the Rfam family "Bacterial small subunit ribosomal RNA", at positions 28 to 507 of the family's 1533-position model. The record is from RNAcentral.